The submitters of this non-coding RNA (33 nucleotides) gave its source as unclassified sequences. The record is from Rfam.
AACAGGGAAGCCGAAAACUGAACAGAGUAGGCA